This 1999-nucleotide long non-coding RNA is filed under the name Carassius auratus (goldfish). RNAcentral describes it as "lncRNA (ENSCARG00000050017.1)". Lineage: Eukaryota; Metazoa; Chordata; Actinopteri; Cypriniformes; Cyprinidae. The record is from RNAcentral.
AUGCCAGAGAAAAUGAUACAGAAUAAUCUGCUUAACUUAUUUAAUCUUUCAGGCACACCAAAUGGAUGCACACCAAGACUGAACAUGCUCCACUUGCAAAAUGGAGUGUAUCGAACCAUUGGCAGGAUGAUAUCUACAAUAAUAGUGCAGUGUAGUGUAGUGGACUACAUUGUGUCUGGGGACAUCCUUCAAGUUCACGUGCCACCUGAUGACAUAGGUGACCCUGAUUUAAGGGAAAACCUCAAUAAGGUUCAACAAGCAACCUUGCAGGAUGAUUUGGAGAAAGCAGUCAGCUGCUGUGACUCAUGGCGAUAUCAAGUAGAAGGGCUUCCACUCGUAGUCACCAUGGCCAACAGAGAUGUGUUUGUGAAAAAUGCAGUUCUAUACCAUACUGUUGUGCAACGGCAGAGCUGUCUUGAUCAACUCACUGAUGGCUUGUCUCACUAUGGAGUUUUAUCACUCCUGAGAGAGAACCCCAGCUUGCGUGUGCUGCUUAACAUACCAGGAGAGAACAAAGGUCAAGAAGCUGAUUUUGUAGCUGGUAUUCUCAAACCAAGCUACUCCGUACUGGGGAGCAACAGAAGAGCUAAGGAGGAGUUGAUAGUGGUCAAAUUUAGGGAGUUUCUCCAAUGUGUUGAAAGUAAGUACCGGUAUGUAUUUGUAAUUCAGUACAUUAUACAACAAGGCAAUCCAGGAAAUUUACAGAUUAAUUUUAUUCUUUACAACUCAUGAACCUAUGCCUGUCAAAUGUUUAUGUACCACCAACAAGAAUACAGUUGUUAUCUGAUGCUUUAAAGAAUAAAAUUGCUUUUUCACCAAAAUACUUAUACAGUCCAUAACAAUCCAUUAGUCACUCAAUUAUUCAUUGAUUCAGGCUUUCUUAAACCUGAGUAUUUUCCAGUCUCCAAGUCAACAAUGGUUUCCCUUUGAUUGUAGAUAAAGAGCUGAGAUACACUUAUGGGGACAGGACAGGAUGAUGAGGAGGCAUUCCUGAAGACUUUGAGCCCUGGUCACAUCCUGUUUUCUUACAAAAAAUGUUUACAUCUGUGAGGACUAUCUGACCCUUCUUUAUACUGUAAGAUGUUGUACUGUAUGAUUGGAAGGAUAUGGAAAUCAGUCAUCGCAGUAAUAAUAAAUUAAUAAAUGUAGUUACUUUAACCCUGUGAUGUGUUUUUUUUAACAAUGAUUGUAUGAAUUUAACUACAAUCGUUUUUUUUUUUUUUUUUACAUAUACUGAAUCAGUAGUGAAGGAAUAAAAUAUGUACAUUUACUAUAGUAAGGUACUUCUGUAGAAAUUUGAACUACUUUUCACAUUUAAAUUUUGAAUUCCCCUCCUCACCAUUGAAAGGCUUGUAUAUUCAGAUUUAUUGCUGUUGAAUAUUUUGUGCUAAACUGAAGAUUGUAUUUUCAUAUGUUGAAAAAAAUUCACUUCACUUGACAAAACCUUUUGGAUUAGCUGCAAAAUGCAAAAAUGUUUUUUUCUUACCUUUAUGUACAGCCAUCUUCUCAGAAAUACAUAACAAAGAUACAAGUUAUGUAUGUAAUACACAAGAUAUUAUAAAACACUGACAGUUAUCUUUUUACUUCACUGAGUACUUUUACUUUGCAUAUUUAGGUACUUUAAAAUCAGGAACAAUGUAGUGGAAGACAGUUAUGCAUCAAUACAUCUAUAGAGCCCUGAAAAGCAUGUCACUGUUCCUUCACAUAACAUGAGUCCUCUUGUAUUUAUCCACACUACCAUUGCUUUAGACUUGACAGAAAACUAACAGAUGUAAAAGUAUGUCUGUAGCCUUUUUAACACUGACAUCAUAUAAGUGCCAUCAUGUAAUUUUCUAAAAUCUAUAUGCUGACAAGAGGCUGUAAAUCUUGUAGUUCAAGAAGCACAACAAAACAUCAGUAUUUGUUUCACAGUGUACUUUUGAAAGUCCAAUAAGGCUAAUGUUACCCAGUUGUCCAUGUCAUGCUAAGAUCACACAUUUACAAGUUUUUCAAAAAUAAA